UUAUAUCUUGGGAUAGUGGGGAAAGUCUGGCAGGCAGCCUGUUCCCAUUGCGGGCUAUGGGUCUUAGCAGGCAGUAACCACCAGGAGUUUUGGGAUGAAAGCCAUCACCCCUCUACUACCCACUGCAGGGGGGGGUAUCAAGGAACGACAUCAGGCCUCAGUGCCUGGCCCGGGCAAGAUGGAGGGGAGCAAAACUUACCAUCAGCUUGCCAGCUUCUGGCAAGACAGCAGGUGAAACUGUAUAACAUGUACAGUUCAGCACAUGGCCAACCCAUUUUGUCAGCAGAUGUUGGUGGGGACUACAACUUUCCCCUCAUCAGUAAAUUGCUAUUACCAACUGAGAAGAAGAUGAGUAAGGUUUGACAAUACCAAAUCUGGGAUUGCCACCAUAGUCCACAUUGAAUCUAUGUUUCCCUUGGCACAGGAGCACUGCACAGCUUUCACAUAUGAAUGCACUCCUUGGCCGAUCCAGUUCCUGCUCCAAGGUACAACCCAGAGGAAGUAAGUCAUACUCUUUCUUUUCCCUUGUUCCCCAUUCUUUCACGAAGAGAGUCCAUGGCUCCUUAGAGGGACAAGAACAGGAUGUUCAAGGAUGCAAGUAUCCCUAAAGCACAGCAGACAAGAUUUCAGGAUUAACCCCACAGCAUGGAUGAGAGGAGAAUCUCCAGGGAAACAGGGAAAUUCUCAUUGUAAAGGGAGUGCU
Molecule: long non-coding RNA, 703 nt
Organism: Centrocercus urophasianus (Greater sage-grouse)
Lineage: Eukaryota; Metazoa; Chordata; Aves; Galliformes; Phasianidae
Exons: 3
Source: RefSeq, a predicted model, not a curated record